This 465-nucleotide ribosomal RNA is filed under the name uncultured bacterium. RNAcentral's name for it is "partial 16S ribosomal RNA". It matches the Rfam family "Bacterial small subunit ribosomal RNA", at positions 338 to 795 of the family's 1533-position model. The record is from RNAcentral.
CCUACGGGUGGCAGCAGUGGGGAAUUUUGGACAAUGGGCGAAAGCCUGAUCCAGCAAUGCCGCGUGCAGGAUGAAGGCCUUCGGGUUGUAAACUGCUUUUGUACGGAACGAAAAAGCUCCUUCUAAUACAGGGGGGCCAUGACGGUACCGUAAGAAUAAGCACCGGCUAACUACGUGCCAGCAGCCGCGGUAAUACGUAGGGUUCGAGCGUUAAUCGGAAUUACUGGGCGUAAAGCGGUCGCAGGCGGUUAUGUAAGACAGAUGUGAAAUCCCCGGGCUCAACCUGGGAACUGCAUUUGUGACUGCAUGGCUAGAGUACGGUAGAGGGGGAUGGAAUUCCGCGUGUAGCAGUGAAAUGCGUAGAUAUGCGGAGGAACACCGAGGGCGAAGGCAAUCCCCUGGACCUGUACUGACGCUCAUGCACGAAAGCGUGGGGAGCAAACAGGAUUAGAUACCCGUGUAGUC